AUGGAACUCAGGGCCGAAUACCUCAGGGAGAAGCUGCAGCGGGACCUGGCGGCGGAGCAUGUGGCGGUGGAGGACAACACGACCCUCAACCAUUGCGCCUGUAGCUUCUGGCGGUGUCGGCCAAGUUCGAGGGGAAGCCGCUGCUUCAGAGACACCGCCUGGUGAACGCGUGCCUAGCAGAAGCGCUCCUGCGUAUCCAUGCCUUUGAACAGAAAACCCUAAUCCCAGAGCAGUGGGCCCGUGAGCGGCAGAAAUG
Molecule: long non-coding RNA, 256 nt
Filed under: Homo sapiens (human)
Lineage: Eukaryota; Metazoa; Chordata; Mammalia; Primates; Hominidae
Description: non-protein coding lnc-SOX4-3:1
Source: RNAcentral